Molecule: long non-coding RNA, 868 nt
Organism: Hyla sarda
Lineage: Eukaryota; Metazoa; Chordata; Amphibia; Anura; Hylidae
Exons: 2
Source: RefSeq, a predicted model, not a curated record
UCUUCUGACCUAAAUAGCUAGCGUUUGUACCCUGUAUCUUUGUAUUACCUGGCAUCCUUGACUACUGGCUUCCUACUCGACUUCCCUCUGGUUAUAGCGAUUCGGUACUUCUGUCCUUUCCUGGCUUUGACGCAGUUUGCUGACUUUGACUUUUGUUAGAAAAGAAACUGUCUUCUUCUUCGCUUCGCUCUGAACGCCUGGAAAGUGUGACAAGUGUUAUAAAGUAAAAGACAACAAUAAUAGACAUGAAAAGUAAAUUUUAUUAAACAUGUUUACAUAACAUGAGUUGGAAGUUUAUUUAAAAGCACAGGGGGGUGUUAAGACAAGUGGUCAAAUAGAAAGAUAGUACCCAAUUAUAAUUAGUUCAGUUGUUUUGGCCACUAAGACAGUACAUAAUCUAGUAGUGCACCAGUGCUUCAGUUCUUCCUGCUCAGCAGGUCAAGCAGUAACCUACCUAUGCCCUCCACAAAUAUGGGCAUAAUGGUUUCAGCCUGUAAUAAAUAAUUCACUUGGUGCAGGCAGUAUGUCUAUGAAUCAAAACCUAGUGUGUACACAAUUUCUACAUGUGUUACAGCCCCACAGUAGGAAUUUACACCAAAAUAUUUAUUAUAAGGAAUUUGGUCCGAACUACAUUACGUUUCCAUAGGGUAGAAAAUAAUGUCCAUCUAUAGGCAUUUAGCACCAGACUAACAUAUCUAGUCUGGUUAAAAACCUGCAAAAUGUCUAUCAGAAAAAUGGAUGGCUUAAAUUUCUUGAUUAUGUCAUUAUCAUUACGGUCAAACUGUACAAGUACAUGCAACAUACAAGCCAGCCUAUGUGGAACUAACACACAUUAUUAUUUAACCUUUUUUUUUUGUCUCUUUUUUUU